GUGCGUAGGCGGCUUGUUAAGUCUGGUGUGAAAGCUAGGGGCUCAACCCCUGUGUUGCACUGGAAACUGGCAGGCUUGAGUGCGGUAGGGGAAGGUGGAAUUCCGAGUGUAGCGGUGAAAUGCGUAGAUAUUCGGAAGAACACCGGUGGCGAAGGCGACCUUCUGGGCCGCCACUGACGCUGAGGCACGAAAGCGUGGGGAGCAAACGGGAUUAGAUACCCCGGUAGUCCACGCUGUAAACGAUGGUCACUAGGUGUUGCGGGUAUCGACCCCCGCAGUGCCGUAGCUAACGCGUUAAGUGACCCGCCUGGGGAGUACGGUCGCAAGACUGAAACUCAAAGGAAUUGACGGGGGCCCGCACAAGCGGUGGAGGAUGUGGUUUAAUUCGACGCAACGCGAAGAACCUUACCAAGGCUUGACAUCCCUAGAACCCUCUGGAAACAGAGGGGUGCCCGAAAGGGAGCUAGGAGACAGGUGGUGCAUGGCUGUCGUCAGCUCGUGUCGUGAGAUGUUGGGUUAAGUCCCGCAACGAGCGCAACCCUCGUGGUUAGUU
RNAcentral lists this ribosomal RNA (553 nucleotides) under uncultured bacterium. RNAcentral's name for it is "bacterial SSU rRNA". It matches the Rfam family "Bacterial small subunit ribosomal RNA", at positions 567 to 1116 of the family's 1533-position model. The record is from RNAcentral.